Molecule: small nuclear RNA, 104 nt
Organism: Bos grunniens (domestic yak)
Lineage: Eukaryota; Metazoa; Chordata; Mammalia; Artiodactyla; Bovidae
Source: Ensembl
GUGUUCACUUCUGCAGCACAUAUACUAAAAUUGUAACAAUACAGAGAUUAGCAUGGCCCCUGCGCAAGGAUGACAUGCAAAUUCAUGAAGCGUUCCACAUUUUU